RNAcentral lists this ribosomal RNA (253 nucleotides) under uncultured bacterium. RNAcentral describes it as "partial 16S ribosomal RNA". It matches the Rfam family "Bacterial small subunit ribosomal RNA", at positions 524 to 776 of the family's 1533-position model. The record is from RNAcentral.
GACGUAGGGCGCGAGCGUUAUCCGGAAUUAUUGGGCGUAAAGAGCUCGUAGGCGGUUUGUCGCGUCUGCCGUGAAAGUCCGGGGCUCAACUCCGGAUCUGCGGUGGGUACGGGCAGACUAGAGUGAUGUAGGGGAGACUGGAAUUCCGGGUGUAGCGGUGAAAUGCGCAGAUAUCAGGAGGAACACCGAUGGCGAAGGCAGGUCUCUGGGCAUUAACUGACGCUGAGGAGCGAAAGCAUGGGGAGCGAACAGG